GAGUUUGAUCCUGGCUCAGAUUGAACGCUGGCGGAAUGCUUUACACAUGCAAGUCGAACGGCAGCACGGGAGCUUGCUCCUGGUGGCGAGUGGCGAACGGGUGAGUAAUACAUCGGAACAUGCCUAGUCGUGGGGGAUACCGUAGCGAAAGUUACGUUAAUACCGCAUACGUCCUGAGGGAGAAAGCAGGGGAUUCGCAAGAACCUUGCGCGAUUAGAGUGGCCGAUGCCUGAUUAGCUAGUUGGUGAGGUAAUGGCUCACCAAGGCGACGAUCAGUAGCGGGUCUGAGAGGAUGAUCCGCCACACUGGAACUGAGACACGGUCCAGACUCCUACGGGAGGCAGCAGUGGGGAAUUUUGGACAAUGGGGGCAACCCUGAUCCAGCCAUUCCGCGUGAGUGAAGAAGGCCUUCGGGUUGUAAAGCUCUUUCAGCGGGAACGAAACGGUGCGCUCUAACAUAGCGUAUUAAUGACGGUACCCGCAGAAGAAGCACCGGCUAACUACGUGCCAGCAGCCGCGGUAAUACGUAGGGUGCGAGCGUUAAUCGGAAUUACUGGGCGUAAAGCGUGCGCAGGCGGCUUUUUAAGCCAGACGUGAAAUCCCCGGGCUUAACCUGGGAAUGGCGUUUGGAACUGGAAGGCUAGAGUGUGUCAGAGGGGGGUAGAAUUCCACGUGUAGCAGUGAAAUGCGUAGAGAUGUGGAGGAAUACCGAUGGCGAAGGCAGCCCCCUGGGAUAACACUGACGCUCAUGUACGAAAGCGUGGGUAGCAAACAGGAUUAGAUACCCUGGUAGUCG
This 796-nucleotide ribosomal RNA is filed under the name uncultured bacterium. Its description in RNAcentral is "bacterial SSU rRNA". It matches the Rfam family "Bacterial small subunit ribosomal RNA", at positions 9 to 796 of the family's 1533-position model. The record is from RNAcentral.